This 363-nucleotide unclassified non-coding RNA is filed under the name uncultured bacterium. Its description in RNAcentral is "contains 16S-23S intergenic spacer region". The record is from RNAcentral.
UCCCCGUUACCGAGGCAGUCUAAGUAGAAAAGUUCAACUACUUAAAAGGGUUGCGCUCGUUGAUGGACUUAACCAAACAUCUCACGACACGAGCUGACGACGGCCAUGCAGCACCUGUCACCUGAUUCCCGAAGGCACAUCCGGCUUUCGCUGGACUUCCAGGGAUGUCAAGCCUUGGUAAGGUUCUUCGCUUAUCAUCGAAUUAAACAACACGCUCCACCGCUUGUGCGGGUCCCCGUCAAUUCCUUUAUGUUUUAAGCUUGCGCUCGUACUCCACAGGCGGGAUGCUUAACGCGUUAGCUUCGCAACACAGCGGGUCGAUACGCUGUACUGCUAGCAUCCAUCGUUUACGGCGUGGACUAC